CUCACGCAUGGGUCACGUAGUUUCGUUGGUUUCGUUUGUCGCGCAUGUGGCAGUUUACGCAAGUUUAUGUCGUUAAUUACAAUUUUGUAUGACACGCCCUAUGAUUAGCAGUGUCUGCUUUCUCAACGGAGGAAGCGGCUCCUGCCAAGCACAUUUUUUUGCAAGCUGUCCUCUGCAUCAGCGAUGAAGUAGUGCAUGGCCGGAGUUUCUGUGUCGUGGAACUUCGUUCGUCAUCGAACAUGGUGCAUGUAAAUAUCUUCACCGAGAAAAACAAUUUGUAUUGUUUUAUCAUGAUAGAAGUGUGUUAAUGAAUGUUGCCAUCAUUGAAAAUACAAUUUUUUAUUCCUGCAUGGACUGGUAGCACUAAGUCGUAUUCAAUGACUAUAGCAGGAGUGGGUAUACAAGGUGUAGUUUGUACAAAGUUCUAAAAUGCUGAGCUUUCAUAUAAAAAAGACAGUUGAAGAGAGCAUUUAUUAGAAUUACAAAUUUCAUUCAGUAACAAUUAAGUUCCACCAGAUAUCAUUCCACUGUUGACUGGUUCUAGAAAAUAAACUAUAAGUAUUAGUACAAAUAUAAACAAUGAAAGAAAAGUUUCGCUUAUUGCUGUUUUUUGUAACUGUAGGUUGUGUAUGAGGUAGAUUUAUGUUAUAGGAAAAAUAAAGGCACAUUAGUAUUUUUGACAAAUGCUGGACAUGCAGUAGAUUUAGUUGCAAAUUGUCUGGUGGCUCAUUGCUGCCUUGACUCAGCCGCUCACUGUGCAGUUUUUCAGUCAGUCACAAGAUUUGUACGUAUAAUAUGUGUAGAAAUAGGUUGUCAUCGAAAUUACAAAGCAAUACAAGUGGAAGUGGGUAUAAUGUCAGUGUGGUGAUGAGUAUAAAACACACACAGGUUCGAACGUCGGUCACCUAGCUUGUAUUGCUCUAUGGUCACUGACACGAAUGGUUAUGUGACUGGUGCUAGUUUUAUGUCGCAUUGAGUAGUUAAAAACCUGGUUAUGACCGGAAAGCUCCUUUGCUUGUGUACUUGAUGGUUAAUGGUUUCAAGACAGUUUUAAAGCCCUGUCACAGUAUCAGUGUCAUUUAGAUACUGGACCCGGCGUGGUUCAUUUAAAAAUACAGCUGGCCACGUGAAUGCGCGAAACAGUGGCACAUGCAUUGGGUGCAUGUGAGCACCGCAUUGAAAACUUUAGGAGAUAGUACGUGUAAGGAGCAUUGCA
Rhipicephalus microplus (southern cattle tick) is the source of this 1216-nucleotide long non-coding RNA. NCBI's taxonomy places the organism in Eukaryota, Metazoa, Arthropoda, Arachnida, Ixodida, Ixodidae. The record is from RefSeq and is a predicted model, not a curated record.